AAGGGUAUAGGUCAGUGGUAGAGCCCAUGCUUAGCAUGCACAAGGUCCUGGGUUCAAUCCCCAGUACCUCCA
RNAcentral lists this transfer RNA (72 nucleotides) under Camelus bactrianus (Bactrian camel). It matches the Rfam family "tRNA". From Rfam's summary of the family: Transfer RNA (tRNA) molecules are approximately 80 nucleotides in length. Their secondary structure includes four short double-helical elements and three loops (D, anti-codon, and T loops). Further hydrogen bonds mediate the characteristic L-shaped molecular structure. tRNAs have two regions of fundamental functional importance: the anti-codon, which is responsible for specific mRNA codon recognition, and the 3' end, to which the tRNAs corresponding amino acid is attached (by aminoacyl-tRNA synthetases). tRNAs cope with the degeneracy of the genetic code in two manners: having more than one tRNA (with a specific anti-codon) for a particular amino acid; and 'wobble' base-pairing, i.e. permitting non-standard base-pairing at the 3rd anti-codon position. RNAcentral also lists the same sequence under 2 other names. The record is from Rfam by way of RNAcentral. Lineage: Eukaryota; Metazoa; Chordata; Mammalia; Artiodactyla; Camelidae.